RNAcentral lists this ribosomal RNA (440 nucleotides) under uncultured bacterium. RNAcentral describes it as "partial 16S ribosomal RNA". It matches the Rfam family "Bacterial small subunit ribosomal RNA", at positions 338 to 795 of the family's 1533-position model. The record is from RNAcentral.
CCUACGGGAGGCAGCAGUGGGGAAUAUUGCACAAUGGGGGAAACCCUGAUGCAGCGACGCCGCGUGAGUGAAGAAGUAUUUCGGUAUGUAAAGCUCUAUCAGCAGGGAAGAAAAUGACGGUACCUGAUUAAGAAGCCCCGGCUAACUACGUGCCAGCAGCCGCGGUAAUACGUAGGGGGCAAGCGUUAUCCGGAUUUACUGGGUGUAAAGGGAGCGUAGACGGCAGCGCAAGUCUGAAGUGAAAUGCCGGGGCUUAACCCCGGAACUGCUUUGGAAACUGUGCAGCUAGAGUGCAGGAGGGGUAAGUGGAAUUGCUAGUGUAGCGGUGGAAUGCGUAGAUAUUAGGAGGAACAUCAGGGGCGAAGGCGACUUACUGGACUGUAACUGACACUGAGGCACGAAAGCGUGGGGAGCAAACAGGAUUAGAUACCCUUGUAGUC